CCUACGGGUGGCUGCAGCGAGGAAUAUUGGUCAAUGGCCGUAAGCCUGAACCAGCCAAGUCGCGUGAAGGAAGAAGGACCUAUGGUUUGUAAACCUCUUUUAUCGGGGAAUAAAGGUAUCCACGCGUGGCUAUUGGCAUGUACCCCAUGAAUAAGCAUCGGCUUACCUCGUGCCAGCAGCCGGUGUUAUACGGAGGAUGCGAGCGUUAUCCGGAUUUUAUGGGUUUAAAGGGUGCGUAGGUUGUUUUUUAAGUCAGCGGUGAAAGUUUGGGGCUCAACCAUAAGAUUGCCGUUGAAACUGGAAGACUUGAGUGUGUUUGAGGUAUGCGGAAUGCGUGGUGUAGCGGUGAAAUGCAUAGAUAUCACGCAGAACUCCGAUUGCGAAGGCAGCUUACUAGGCCAUGACUGACGCUGAGGCACGAAAGCGUGGGGAUCGAACAGGAUUAGAUACCCUUGUAGUC
Molecule: ribosomal RNA, 460 nt
Filed under: uncultured bacterium
Lineage: Bacteria
Description: partial 16S ribosomal RNA
Rfam family: Bacterial small subunit ribosomal RNA
Source: RNAcentral